UACACAUAAGAGGCUGUCCAAGCCAGGAUGAA
Molecule: non-coding RNA, 32 nt
Filed under: Rattus norvegicus (Norway rat)
Lineage: Eukaryota; Metazoa; Chordata; Mammalia; Rodentia; Muridae
Source: RNAcentral